RNAcentral lists this RNase P RNA (195 nucleotides) under Mariprofundus sp. RNAcentral's name for it is "partial RNase P RNA component class A". It matches the Rfam family "Bacterial RNase P class A", at positions 185 to 367 of the family's 367-position model. Rfam says of the family: Ribonuclease P (RNase P) is a ubiquitous endoribonuclease, found in archaea, bacteria and eukarya as well as chloroplasts and mitochondria. Its best characterised activity is the generation of mature 5'-ends of tRNAs by cleaving the 5'-leader elements of precursor-tRNAs. Lineage: Bacteria; Pseudomonadati; Pseudomonadota; Candidatius Mariprofundia; Mariprofundales; Mariprofundaceae. The record is from RNAcentral.
GCUGGUAACAGUCGGGGGCAUGGUAAACCCCGUUCGCAGCAAGGCCAAAUAGGGAAGCGCCAAGCGUGGCUCGCGUUUGCUUUCGGGUAGGCUGCUUGAGCCUGUCAGCAAUGGCAGGCCUAGAUGAAUGAUCAUCGCCGCCCUUUCGCAAGAGAUGGGCGGAGACAAAACCCGGCUUAUAGAGCCACUCCGUAU